Molecule: RNA transcript, 4277 nt
Organism: Athene cunicularia (burrowing owl)
Lineage: Eukaryota; Metazoa; Chordata; Aves; Strigiformes; Strigidae
Gene: XPO1
Gene name: exportin 1
Exons: 24
Source: RefSeq, a predicted model, not a curated record
GAGGAAGCAGCGCGGCCGAGCGGCGGGAGAGGGGGAAGGCCGCCGCGCUUGGGUGGGGUAAUCUAUGCCAGCAAUUAUGACAAUGUUAGCAGACCAUGCAGCUCGUCAGCUGCUGGAUUUUAACCAGAAACUGGAUAUCAAUCUCUUGGACAAUGUGGUGAACUGCUUGUACCAUGGAGAAGGCGCACAGCAAAGAAUGGCACAGGAAGUCUUGACUCACUUAAAAGAACAUCCCGAUGCAUGGACAAGAGUUGAUACUAUUUUGGAGUUCUCUCAGAACAUGAAUACCAAAUAUUAUGGACUGCAAAUCUUGGAAAAUGUGAUAAAAACAAGAUGGAAGAUUCUUCCAAGGAACCAGUGUGAAGGUAUUAAAAAAUACGUUGUUGGCCUAAUUAUCAAGACCUCAUCUGAUCCAACAUGUGUAGAAAAAGAGAAAGUAUAUAUUGGGAAACUGAACAUGAUUCUUGUUCAGAUACUGAAACAGGAAUGGCCAAAGCACUGGCCAACUUUUAUAAGUGAUAUUGUGGGAGCAAGCAGGACUAGUGAAAGCCUUUGUCAGAACAAUAUGGUGAUCCUUAAACUAUUGAGUGAAGAAGUGUUUGAUUUUUCCAGUGGCCAGAUCACCCAAGUAAAAGCUAAGCAUCUGAAAGACAGCAUGUGCAAUGAAUUCUCUCAGAUAUUUCAACUGUGUCAGUUUGUCAUGGAAAACUCCCAAAAUGCUCCUUUAGUUCAUGCAACUUUGGAAACUUUGUUACGAUUUCUGAACUGGAUUCCUCUGGGAUAUAUAUUUGAGACCAAGUUAAUCAGCACACUAAUAUACAAGUUCUUAAAUGUUCCCAUGUUUCGAAAUGUCUCUUUGAAGUGCCUCACAGAGAUUGCAGGUGUCAGUGUAAGCCAGUAUGAAGAACAGUUUGUAACGCUUUUUACACUGACCAUGAUGCAGUUGAAACAGAUGCUUCCUUUAAAUACCAACAUCCGACUUGCAUACUCAAACGGAAAAGAUGAUGAACAGAACUUCAUUCAGAAUCUCAGUUUGUUUCUCUGCACGUUCCUCAAGGAACAUGGUCAACUUAUAGAAAAAAGAUUAAAUCUGAGGGAAACAUUAAUGGAGGCUCUUCAUUAUAUGCUACUGGUAUCAGAAGUUGAAGAAACUGAAAUUUUCAAGAUUUGUCUUGAAUAUUGGAAUCAUUUAGCUGCUGAGCUCUACAGAGAAAGUCCGUUUUCAACAUCUGCCUCUCCAUUGCUUUCGGGAAGUCAACACUUCGAUGUUCCUCCAAGGAGACAGCUUUAUUUGCCUGUAUUGUCCAAGGUUCGAUUGCUAAUGGUUAGCCGUAUGGCUAAACCUGAAGAAGUCCUAGUUGUGGAAAAUGAUCAAGGGGAAGUAGUACGAGAAUUCAUGAAGGAUACAGAUUCCAUAAACUUGUAUAAAAACAUGAGAGAAACAUUGGUUUAUCUUACGCAUCUGGAUUAUGCAGACACAGAACGAAUUAUGACUGAAAAACUUCACAAUCAAGUGAACGGAACAGAAUGGUCGUGGAAAAAUUUGAAUACUCUGUGUUGGGCUAUAGGUUCCAUCAGUGGCGCGAUGCAUGAAGAAGACGAAAAACGAUUCCUUGUUACAGUAAUUAAGGAUCUCCUGGGACUCUGUGAACAAAAGCGAGGAAAAGACAAUAAAGCCAUUAUUGCAUCAAAUAUAAUGUAUAUAGUAGGUCAAUACCCAAGGUUUUUGAGAGCUCACUGGAAAUUUUUGAAGACAGUAGUCAACAAACUGUUUGAAUUUAUGCAUGAAACCCACGAUGGUGUCCAGGAUAUGGCUUGUGAUACCUUCAUAAAAAUAGCACAAAAAUGCCGCCGACAUUUUGUUCAGGUUCAAGUGGGAGAGGUCAUGCCAUUUAUUGAUGAAAUCUUGAACAAUAUUAAUACUAUCAUCUGUGACCUUCAGCCACAACAGGUGCAUACAUUCUACGAAGCAGUAGGAUACAUGAUUGGGGCACAGACAGACCAGACUGUGCAGGAACAUCUGAUAGAAAAAUACAUGUUGCUACCUAAUCAAGUAUGGGACAGCAUAAUUCAACAGGCAACAAAAAAUGUUGAUAUUCUAAAGGAUCCUGAAACAGUUAAGCAACUUGGUAGCAUUCUGAAAACCAAUGUAAGAGCAUGUAAAGCAGUUGGCCACCCCUUUGUGAUUCAGCUUGGAAGAAUUUAUUUAGAUAUGCUGAAUGUGUACAAGUGCCUAAGUGAAAAUAUUUCUGCAGCUAUUCAGGCUAAUGGUGAAAUGGUAACAAAGCAGCCCUUGAUUAGAAGUAUGAGGACUGUAAAAAGGGAAACUUUGAAACUAAUUUCUGGCUGGGUGAGCAGGUCCAAUGACCCUCAGAUGGUAGCUGAAAACUUUGUUCCUCCGUUGUUGGAUGCAGUUCUCAUUGACUACCAGAGAAAUGUGCCAGCUGCCAGAGAACCUGAAGUACUUAGUACUAUGGCUAUCAUUGUAAACAAGCUGGGUGGACACAUUACUGCUGAAAUACCUCAGAUAUUCGAUGCUGUUUUUGAGUGCACAUUAAAUAUGAUCAACAAGGACUUUGAAGAAUAUCCUGAACAUAGAACAAACUUCUUCUUACUGCUUCAGGCUGUAAAUUCUCAUUGCUUCCCAGCAUUCCUGGCCAUUCCACCUGCACAGUUCAAGCUUGUUCUGGAUUCUAUUAUUUGGGCUUUCAAACAUACAAUGAGAAAUGUUGCAGAUACAGGACUUCAGAUACUUUAUACUCUACUACAGAAUGUUGCACAAGAAGAGACUGCUGCCCAGAGUUUCUAUCAGACGUAUUUCUGUGAUAUCCUUCAGCACAUUUUCUCAGUGGUAACAGACACCUCACAUACUGCUGGUUUGACAAUGCAUGCAUCAAUCCUUGCAUACAUGUUCAACUUAGUAGAAGAGGGAAAAAUAAGUACUCCAUUAAACCCUGGAAAUCCAGUGAACAACCAAAUGUUUAUUCAGGAGUAUGUUGCUAAUCUUCUCAAAUCUGCAUUUCCUCAUCUGCAAGAGUAAGUCUGCUGUGAUUCUUUAAUGCUUUUAAGGAUGUUCAUAUGUCUUCAUAUACUAAUUGAUGUGUCUGCUGUUAGUGCCCAGGUUAAGUUGUUCGUGACAGGACUCUUCAGUUUAAACCAGGAUAUUCCUGCCUUCAAGGAACACCUAAGGGAUUUUCUGGUCCAAAUCAAGGAAUUUGCAGGUGAAGACACAUCAGACUUAUUCUUGGAGGAAAGAGAAACAGCCCUUCGGCAGGCUCAAGAGGAGAAGCAUAAACUUCAGAUGUCUGUACCUGGCAUCCUUAAUCCACAUGAAAUUCCUGAGGAGAUGUGCGAUUAAAAAACGAAAAACAAACCACAAACAAGUUUUGCAGUUUUCUUUCUGUACAGCUACUUUGUUGUCAUAGAAGAAAACAGCACUUGGAUAUUUGUUGACCAAAAUGAUGCCAAUUUGUAAAUUAAAAUGUCACCUAGUGGCCCUUUUUUCUUAUGUGUUUUUUGUAUAAGAAAUUUUCUGUGAAAUAUCCUUCCAUUGUUUAAGCUUUCGUUUGGUCAUCUUUAUUUAGAUUUGCAUGAAGUUGAAAAUUAAGGCAUUUUCAAAGUAAUUACUUCAUGCCCAUUUUGUUGCUAAGGGGAAAAUAGGCAAAACAUAACGUGUAAAAGACUAUAUUGCAAAACAAUACAAUUUCCUGUAAGAGUAUUGAUUUCAAAUUUGGGAACAUUUUCCUUCUAGUCUGUCCUGCAGUCUAGGAGAAAAGGUAAUGAGUAAAACAGACUAAAUUGAUUGUUAAGCAGAGGAUUAUAGUGCUGCAUUUGUUUUGAUCAGUUAGCAGCUUUUUGGACUGAGUGGUAAGGCUAGGCUACAUGUAUUUGCAAGUUGUAUGGCAAGUUUGCAGCAAGAUCAUGUGCAUAUCAUCCCAUUGUAAAGCAACUUCUAAAGAGUAUGGGAACACAGUACAGUUAGUUAUUUUUACACAGUUCUUUUGGUUUUGUGUGUGUGCUGUCGCCUUGUCGACAACAGCUUUUUGUUUUCCUCAAUGAGGAGUGUUGCUCAUUUGUGAGCCUUCAUUAACUCGAAGUGAAAUGGUUAAAAUAUUUAUCCUGUUAGAAUAGGCUGCAUCUUUUUAACAACUCAUAAAAUAAUAAAAAAAAAAACAACCUCUGGCUUUUGAGAUGACUUAUACUAAUUUACAUUGUUUACCAUGCUGUAGUGCUUAAAGAACACUACUUAAAAGCAAAAUAAACUUGGUUUACAUUUA